UUUCAAUUCGAUAAAGAUAGUUUUGCGUCAUUCGAGAGCGGUCAUUCGAGAUCAAUGUUUCAAAGAAAUAAGUACGAUUCGAUCGAACCGAAUUAAACGCGAUUAACGUCGAUUAUUAUAUCUCAUUUUGGGUGAAGUCGAUAACGUUUGAUAAGAGGACGUUAUCGGUAAUAAGGAAGAGAGGAAAAGGGAAAGAAGAGGAAGACAAGAAUUAUAUCGAAAUUAUCGUUGUUGAAGAAGUUAUCGGUGACCUUGCGUUUGAUAGAAGAAAGGAAAUUUGUUUUUGUUGGGAAAAACCAAUCAAUUGUGGGAUAAUUAAAAUGGCAGAAAAUUCAUUGUCCGAGUCGAACGAGAAAAUGCCUUUGGAGGAAGAAGCCAAGGAGGAAGUUAAAGUUGAAAAUGGAGAAGCCGUAGAGGAGUGUAACGCAAAGGAAUUUUGCGAAGAGGAUAACAAGGAUGAAAUUAAAAAGCGUACAAAAAGAAACAUUAUUAAAGCACCAUUAUUCGAGGUUAAAGAUGAUAAAACUCAAUAUCGUCGCGAUUCGAAUGGACGCUUAAGACCAGUCUAUUUUUAAUCGUAUAUUUUUAUAUUAAAUGCAGAAAAAAGAAGAGAUAAUAAAUUAAAUAAUAAAAUA
Vespa crabro (European hornet) is the source of this 635-nucleotide long non-coding RNA. RefSeq lists it as uncharacterized. Lineage: Eukaryota; Metazoa; Arthropoda; Insecta; Hymenoptera; Vespidae. The record is from RefSeq and is a predicted model, not a curated record. The transcript has 3 exons.